Sarcophilus harrisii (Tasmanian devil) is the source of this 46-nucleotide non-coding RNA. Lineage: Eukaryota; Metazoa; Chordata; Mammalia; Dasyuromorphia; Dasyuridae. The record is from Rfam.
CAAAAGGCCCUUUUCAGGGCCGCCCAUCUCUUCACCAAAGAGUUGU